AAUGAGUGCCUCAGCCUUGCAGGAACCUGCCUACCAGGCACUUGCCAGAACCUCGAGGGCUCCUUCCGCUGCAUCUGUCCCCCUGGCUUCCAGGUGCAGAGUGAUCACUGCAUUGAUAUCGACGAGUGCUCAGAGGAGCCCAACCUCUGCCUCUUUGGCACCUGUACCAACAGCCCUGGGAGCUUCCAGUGCCUCUGCCUACCUGGCUUUGUCCUCUCUGACAAUGGGCACCGUUGCUUUGACACACGGCAGAGUUUCUGCUUCACCCGUUUUGAGGCUGGGAAGUGCUCGGUGCCCAAAGCUUUCAACACCACCAAGACCCGCUGCUGCUGCAGUAAGAGGCCUGGGGAGGGCUGGGGAGACCCCUGCGAACUGUGUCCCCAGGAGGGCAGUGGUGAGUGCCCACCCCUGUCCAGGCUCCCUGGAUGAUGUGCCCUCACCUUCCUGUCUCAUUCUUCUCUCAUCCUUCCCUGCACACACCUGGGGGCUGCACCUAGGCCCUGAC
Molecule: long non-coding RNA, 505 nt
Filed under: Pan troglodytes (chimpanzee)
Lineage: Eukaryota; Metazoa; Chordata; Mammalia; Primates; Hominidae
Description: long non-coding RNA NONPTRT008347
Source: RNAcentral